RNAcentral lists this unclassified non-coding RNA (162 nucleotides) under uncultured Agaricales. Its description in RNAcentral is "sequence contains ITS1". The record is from RNAcentral. Lineage: Eukaryota; Fungi; Basidiomycota; Agaricomycetes; Agaricales.
UUGAAUCCUCAAGGAUGUUGCUGGCCUUUUCGGGGCAUGUGCACUCCGCCUUUCAAUUCACCUGUGAACUUAUUGUAGGCCUUUGUGCCUAUGUUUUUAUACAUACUCUUAAAAAGUCUAUUGAAUGUCAAUGGAAUGGCCUCUAUGGUCAAAAAUAUAAUA